This is a non-coding RNA of Caretta caretta (loggerhead turtle), 4099 nucleotides long. Lineage: Eukaryota; Metazoa; Chordata; Testudines; Cheloniidae. The record is from RefSeq and is a predicted model, not a curated record.
UCCCCAGCACAUCGGAAAGUUAGCAUCUAUAGCUCCAGCCCCGGAAUCAGUGCCUAGGUAAGGAGCCACAUAUUAACCUCUGAAGAGCUACAUACAGCUCCGGAGCCACAGGUCAGCCACCCCGGGGCUAGUGUUACCCCAAAAGGCAAAAUGUAGGUAUGUCCAUUUCAGAUUCUGAAAUUUUUUCCCCUCCUCUUUCUUCCCACCCCCCACCCCCCACUUUCCAACCUGGCUUCAGCAUUUUGCCAAAAGCUUAGUGUUAAUUAUAGCCACCCUCCUUCAGAACGGGAGUUGUAUUUAUCUUUACCUUAAGGACAUCUGAUCCUUUUCCUGAGAGCAUCAGGGAUAACCUAUGUAAGUACCUUUAGAGACUAUGUAUUCUUAAUAAAAUUGGACUCAUUCAGACAUCUUUCACUGAAGUUCAUCCACUUGUCUGUGCCUGGACAGGGAGUGAGUGAGACUUUCAUUUUGGAAUACUUCUUGCACUCCAGCAUUUCCUUGCUCUGGUUUUGAACUUCACUCUGUGCCUAAGGUAGACUGUCCUUCAUUGUCUUGGCCACUUUGCAACCUGUCUGGAGUUGCUAAUGUGUCUCAGUCCUAUUUUUAAAAGUGGAUUUAGGCAUCUAGGAACCUAAAUCUCAUAGAAAAUCACUUGGGAUUAAGGAUCUUUAGGCACUCUUGACCAUUUUACCUUAAUCUUAUUUACAGUCCUGCACUUCUGUCCCCCAGGGCUUUCUUAUUGGAAGGUUAUAUUUUAGCCUGCUUUGAAGAUACUUUCUGAAAUAGUCUCCUGCAGGGUAAUACUAUCCACUGAAUGGCACAGCACAUCCUGAAUUUUCUUCCACACCCCAACCUCUCACAAUUUAUUCCUUGAGGAGGAAUCAGUUGUGAUGACCUGCCUACCUUAAGGAUUUUUGCACCACUAUAUUGACAUAAGCGGCGAAGAGUCCUGUGGCACCUUAUAGACUAACAGAUGUAUUGAAGCAUAAGCUUUCGUGGGUGAAUACCCACUUCGUCGGAUGCAUGUCGUGGAAAUUUCCAGAGGCAGGUAUAAAUAUGCAUGCAAGAAUCAGGCUACAGAUAAUGAGGUUAGUUCAAUCAGGGAGGAUGAGGCCCUCUUCUAGCAGUUGAGGUGUGAACACCAAGGGAGGAGAAACUGCUUUUGUAGUUGGCUAGCCAUUCAGUCUUUGUUUAAUCCUCAGCUGAUGGUGUCAAAUUUGCAAAUGAACUGAAGCUCAGCAGGUUUCAGAGGAACAGCCGUGUUAGUCUGUAUUCGCAAAAAGAAAAGGACUACUUGUGGCACCUUAGAGACUAACCAAUUUAUUUGAGCAUGAGCUUUCGUGAGCUACAGCUCACUUCAUCAGAUGCAUACCGUGGAAACUGCAGCAGACUUUAUAUACACACAGAGAAUAUGAAACAAUACCUCCUCCCACCCCACUGUCCUGCUGGUAAUAGCUUAUUCUCUUUGAAGUCUGGUCCUCCAAGUUUUUUUGCUGCAGGAUGGCUAUUAAAUCUUUAAAUAGCUUUAAAUCUGCUAUUGUGUGUCCAGGGAGGUUGAAGUGUUCUACAGGUUUUGUAUAUUGCCAUUCCUAAUAUCUGAUUUGUGUCCAUUUAUCCUUUUACGUAGGGACUGUCCAGUUUGGCCGAUGUACAUAACAGAGGGGCACAUGAUGGCGUAUAUUACAUUGGUGGACAUGCAGGUGAAUGAACCGGUGAUGGUGUGGCUGAUCUGGUUAGGUCCUGUGAUGGUGUCGCUGUGUAGAUAUGUGGGCAGAGUGGGCAUAGAGGUUUGUUGCAUGGAUUGGUUCCUGAGUUAGUUUCUAUGGUGCGGUGUGUAGUUGCUGGUGAGACUAUGCUUAGGGUUGGCAGGUUGUCUGUGGGCAAGGACUGGUCUGCCUCCCAAGGCCUGUGAAAGUGAGGGAUCGUUGUCCAGGAUGGGUUGUCGAUCACUGAUGAUGCGUUGGAGAGGUUUUAGCUGAGGACUGUAUGUGAUGGCCAGUGGAGUUUUCUUGGUUUCUUUCUUGGGCUUGUCUUGCAGCAGGAGGCUUCUGGGUACACGUCUGGCUCUGUUGAUCUGUUUCCUUAUUUCCUCGUGUGGGUAUCGUAGUUUUGAGAAUGCUUGGUGAAGAUCUUGUAGGUGUUGUGCAAAUCCCUGUGUAGAUGUACUGUGACUUACACCGUAUUGGUGCAACUGAAGCCCUGUCUACACUGGCAAGUUUCUGCGUAGUAAAGCAGCUUUCUGUGCAGUAACUCCCAACACUGCCAAGCCACUCAGUGCGCAGAAACUGCGCCACUGUAGCACUCUUGUUUUUAAAAAAAACAAACAAAAACUACCCUGACGAGAGGCAUAGAGCUUUCUGUGCUGGGGCUACAGCCCUGUGGUGCCAGCAUAGACACCGUGGCACUUACAGCGCUGUGGUAGGCAUUGUGGGACACCUCUAGGAAGCCAGUUCUCACCUCCUGGUCAUCCGUUUGAACUCUACUGCCUUGCCCUUACGUGACCAAUUGUCAUUCCCAGCCCAUACAUUCCUUUGCAAAUUUGAAAGUCCCCUUCCUGUUUGCUUGGUGGUCCUUGCAAUGGUCUGUGCGCAUCUUUCCAGGUGGCCAUGCCUGCUCCAUGCACCAGGCGAUCCCCCCGCUUGGAGCAAUGCCGAGCUGCUGGACCUCAUCUACAUUUGGGGAGAGGCGUCUGUGUAGUCCCAGCUGCACUCCAGCCAUAGGAAUUAUACCUACGGACAGAUUUCAUGAUGCAUGUUAGAAAGGGGCCAUGAGCGGGACACAUUGCAGUGUAGGGUCAAAGUGAAGGAGCUGCAGAAUGCCUACUACAAGGCGCGGGAGGCAAACUGAUGCUCCAGUGCUGUGCCCACGAGCUGCCAGUUCUACAAAAAGCUGUACACAAUACUCGGUGGUAACUCCACUGCGAAGGCCCCUGUGGAUACUUUGUUGGCUUGCAUGUCAGUUGAGAGUGGACCGAGCCAGGAGGAGGAAAUCCUUGGAGAAAGAGGGGACGGAGGACCCAGAGGCAGAGGAUGACUCGGAGGCCAGAGAUGCAUGCAGUCAGGAGCUCUUUUCUACCCCAGAGGAGCCUAGCCAGUCACAGCAGUCGGAUCUUGGCAAAGCGCAAACAGGAGAGGAAGACCCUAAGAUGACUUUGUGAGCCCCAGCCUCUCUCUUUGUUAUCGGCAGCAGAACAGCUGUGCAGAAUUAGAAAACGGCCAAGAAGAACUAAGGAGGACUUUCUCUAUGAGGUUAUGAUGCACUCCACUGCAGAGAAACAGGAAUUGAAGGAGUGGUGGGACAGCGAAAACAGGGAUCGAAAGGAGAACGCGGCACACCAGAAAGAAGCCAUGGAGCGGCUCUUAAACCUUAUGGAGCCACCAAGUGGACAUGCUCCAGGUGAUACUAGCUCUUCAAACCAAGCAGCUCCGUACCUGCUCUCCCUACAGCCGCUGUGGCAAAACUUUUGCCCAUGUGCCGCCCCCCCACACACACACACCCCCAACACAUUAUCAACCUCCUGGCUCCACUGUCUACCCACAGCAUUCCAAUCCUCCCUCCUCACAGUCCAGGAUUGACGACUCCCACUACUCACUGCACCAACACCCAUCCUUCUGCAGUUUGGCCCUGCUGAAGUACAGCACCUGCUGCAUUGUACUCCAAAGGAGAAGGUUGGGUGUGAUCCCUGGACAUAAACAAAUCUGUAGCUGACCCAGGACCCCUCCUUGAGACCUUCCCUUCCCCUUCCCUAUCCCCCUCCCUGCUGAUGAAUUUUUUUGUUUGAGUCUUUCCUCCAGUUGUCUUUUAAUAAAAUAAUUUUGUUUGAAAGCAAUUUCUAUUCUAUUAAGUGAAAGCAAAAAGAGCAUGCAAAGCAACAUUCAAUUAGGUUAAGGCCCCUUCUUGCAUCAUGUGCACCAAUCACCUCCUAGAAUUACAAGCACCUCAAUCCUGAGCAUAGCAACAAAUAUUCGUGGCUUUCAGCUUCAAAUUACUGCCUUAAGGCAUCCCUGAUCCUUAUGGCCUCAUGCUGUGCUCCUCUAAUAGCCCUGGUCUCUGGCUGUUCAAACUCCGCCUCUGCAGUCCAGCCCUCAGUGAAGCUUUC